UACGUAGGGUGCGAGCGUUGUCCGGAAUUAUUGGGCGUAAAGGGCUCGUAGGCGGUUUGUCGCGUCGGGAGUGAAAACCUCGGGCUUAACUCGGGGCUUGCUUUCGAUACGGGCAGACUGGAGGUAUGCAGGGGAGAACGGAAUUCCUGGUGUAGCGGUGAAAUGCGCAGAUAUCAGGAGGAACACCGGUGGCGAAGGCGGUUCUCUGGACGGUGACUGACGCUGAGGCGCGAAAGCGUGGGGAGCAAACAGG
Molecule: ribosomal RNA, 253 nt
Filed under: uncultured bacterium
Lineage: Bacteria
Description: partial 16S ribosomal RNA
Rfam family: Bacterial small subunit ribosomal RNA
Source: RNAcentral